GGAUGGAAACCAUGGGUAAGCAGGAGA
RNAcentral lists this non-coding RNA (27 nucleotides) under Rattus norvegicus (Norway rat). Lineage: Eukaryota; Metazoa; Chordata; Mammalia; Rodentia; Muridae. The record is from RNAcentral.